Molecule: ribosomal RNA, 1017 nt
Filed under: uncultured bacterium
Lineage: Bacteria
Description: bacterial SSU rRNA
Rfam family: Bacterial small subunit ribosomal RNA
Source: RNAcentral
GAGCGGUAGAGAGAAGCUUGCUUCUCUUGAGAGCGGCGGACGGGUGAGUAAUGCCUAGGAAUCUGCCUGGUAGUGGGGGAUAACGUUCGGAAACGGACGCUAAUACCGCAUACGUCCUACGGGAGAAAGCAGGGGACCUUCGGGCCUUGCGCUAUCAGAUGAGCCUAGGUCGGAUUAGCUAGUUGGUGGGGUAAUGGCUCACCAAGGCGACGAUCCGUAACUGGUCUGAGAGGAUGAUCAGUCACACUGGAACUGAGACACGGUCCAGACUCCUACGGGAGGCAGCAGUGGGGAAUAUUGGACAAUGGGCGAAAGCCUGAUCCAGCCAUGCCGCGUGUGUGAAGAAGGUCUUCGGAUUGUAAAGCACUUUAAGUUGGGAGGAAGGGCCAUUACCUAAUACGUGAUGGUUUUGACGUUACCGACAGAAUAAGCACCGGCUAACUCUGUGCCAGCAGCCGCGGUAAUACAGAGGGUGCAAGCGUUAAUCGGAAUUACUGGGCGUAAAGCGCGCGUAGGUGGUUUGUUAAGUUGGAUGUGAAAUCCCCGGGCUCAACCUGGGAACUGCAUUCAAAACUGACUGACUAGAGUAUGGUAGAGGGUGGUGGAAUUUCCUGUGUAGCGGUGAAAUGCGUAGAUAUAGGAAGGAACACCAGUGGCGAAGGCGACCACCUGGACUGAUACUGACACUGAGGUGCGAAAGCGUGGGGAGCAAGCAGGAUUAGAUACCCUGGUAGUCCACGCCGUAAACGAUGUCAACUAGCCGUUGGGAGCCUUGAGCUCUUAGUGGCGCAGCUAACGCAUUAAGUUGACCGCCUGGGGAGUACGGCCGCAAGGUUAAAACUCAAAUGAAUUGACGGGGGCCCGCACAAGCGGUGGAGCAUGUGGUUUAAUUCGAAGCAACGCGAAGAACCUUACCAGGCCUUGACGUCCAAUGAACUUUCUAGAGAUAGAUUGGUGCCUUCGGGAACUCUGACACAGGUGCUGCAUGGCUGUCGUCAGCUCGUGUCGUGAGAUGUU